This 90-nucleotide non-coding RNA is filed under the name Dorea sp. CAG:105. Its description in RNAcentral is "c-di-GMP-I riboswitch aptamer". It matches the Rfam family "c-di-GMP-I riboswitch aptamer". Rfam says of the family: GEMM was predicted in a large-scale screen for bacterial structured RNA regulatory elements. Genes associated with GEMM are involved in a diverse array of functions, including chemotaxis regulation, signal transduction, secretion and chitin. Lineage: Bacteria; Bacillati; Bacillota; Clostridia; Lachnospirales; Lachnospiraceae. RNAcentral also lists the same sequence under 1 other name. The record is from Rfam by way of RNAcentral.
UAGAAUUAACGGCAGACGCAUCGAAAGAUGCAGACGCAAAGCCAUUGGGUCUACGGCUUAUAAUUCAGGCUAUGACAGCCGGUUGCAGAA